Molecule: ribosomal RNA, 298 nt
Filed under: Albinaria voithii
Lineage: Eukaryota; Metazoa; Mollusca; Gastropoda; Stylommatophora; Clausiliidae
Description: partial 16S ribosomal RNA
Source: RNAcentral
AAAAUACUCUUAUAAUUUAAAAAUAGACGAGAAGACCCUUAGAAUUUUAAGAAUAUUAUGAGGAGGUCUUGUAAGAUUUUUUGUUGGGGCAACAAUAUUUCAGUAAAAUAAAUGUUUUAUAGAAAAAUAAGUCGAUUUAAUAGUUAUAUAAAAAUUACCUAAGGGAUAACAGCAUAAUUUUAUUAAAUAAGUUUGUGACCUCGAUGUUGGACUAGGUACUAUUAAGGCUAAUCGUUUUAAUAUAAUAUGUUCUGUUCGAACUGUGUUACCUACAUGAUCUGAGUUCAAACCGGAGCUC